AAGAUCUUUGUCUGACAGCUGGUCUGUGUUGCUGGUGCUGGUGGCAUCCUCCUCAUCCUCAGAGCUGCCAUCACAGGACGUGUGGAACAGCCUCAUCAGCUCCCUGAACCUGUGGGACACCUGGAGAAAAGGGAAAUCCAGGGUGUUUUGUAACACAAAAAAAAAAUCAUAAUUUUAUAAUUUUUUGUUAGUAAGUACAGAAAGGACUCCUGGGUCACUGUGCCCUGUCUGUUUUAAAGUCUAAGGAGUCUUUUAUCUUUUAGUGUGGAAAUUUGCAUUCUUUCUCCUCAGCUGGGGUAGUUCUGCUAGGGUUGCAGUCACCAGACUAAACAGCACAUUUUGCAAGCUCAAAGUGGCACAUUUCACCUAAAUCCAAAUGGAUUUCUACCCUGUUAAAUUUUCUCUCUGUCUCAAUACCACGAUGGCAUUUCAAACAGGAGUCGGGCAUAAAGGAAGAGGAAUGGAAGAGCACUGGGUGGUUGAUUUCUCUGGAAGAAAGUUACAUUCUCCAGGUAAAAUCUGGCAGUUUGGGAGGAUCCAGAGGCAAAAACAGAAGCAGGAGGCUGAAAACCUGAGUAGCAGCCACAGAAACAACUCCAGUACCAAAU
Taeniopygia guttata (zebra finch) is the source of this 608-nucleotide non-coding RNA. Lineage: Eukaryota; Metazoa; Chordata; Aves; Passeriformes; Estrildidae. The record is from RefSeq and is a predicted model, not a curated record.